AACCAACAUUCCAUCAGAACAGAGCCAUACUUGGCCUUCUUGACAUUCCCCAAUCCCCGCUCAUCAGGAUGACUCACUCACAGCCACAUCUCAGGUGUCUCAAGUAAUGUCUCACCUUUGUAUUGCUAGAGGCCACCUGUUUGAGUGUUGCCCACUGUGCACACAGGUCAAUGAGACAGUAUGCGAUCAAAUGACAAUAGUGUGGGUUGGAACUACCCAGCGACUCAUCAAAAAGGCCAUAAAAAAGCAAAGAGAACAAAACCUGAAGCUCAGGCUGAGCCACGCGUGUAAAACCACGACACAAGGACGGACAAAGGAACUAUAAUAAAGAGUGGAAAAAAGUGGUUAAGGCAAUAAAGACAAGAGGAGCUUCACAUGAAUGGAGAAUUAUUGGCUUUAUAGGUGCCUGGAGAAAGGCAGAACAGGUCACAUCACUUUCCCUUCUAGUGAAGGGCAGUUCAGCGAUUUGGAAUUCAACAAUGUUUGAUGGAGAGUUUUGAUCUCGAACUAACAUUUUGCUCUGGCAGCAGCAAUAGAGGUGGGUCAUUAACUCAGAACCCCAUAAUAAAUAAAUGCAUGUGACAAUGCCUCACAGGAGUGGACAGUGCUGAGGGAACCAUCCAAGAAAGUCCCCCAGUCCACAAGAAAAGAUCUCCUUUCCCAUGUUUCCCACCUCAUUCACACCUUAUACUUCAGUGAAGAUUACUGGUUAAUUUUAUCCUCUCUAAGUCAUGGUUUAUGUUAUAAAGUCAUCCUGCCAAUAUCUCUGGGAAACUCUCCAAACCACUUUAGUGAUUACAGAAUAAAAUUGUCCCCUCUUUCCCAUCAACUUAGCUCUAUGUUUUCGAAAAGAUAAUACAUUAACCAUUGUGUUCUAUACCUUCUGAAGCAAAUUCCACAUGAUACAAUUCUACUUACACUAAUAAAAGUUUGUUUUCCAGCUA
Non-coding RNA from Macaca mulatta (Rhesus monkey), 944 nucleotides. Lineage: Eukaryota; Metazoa; Chordata; Mammalia; Primates; Cercopithecidae. The record is from RefSeq and is a predicted model, not a curated record.